CAGUAGCCGCGGGAAUACGAGGGGGGCAAGCGUUGUUCGGAAUUAUUGGGCGUAAAGGGCGCGUAGGCGGUUUGGCAAGUUUGGUGUGAAAUCUUCGGGCUCAACUCGAAGUCUGCAUCGAAAACUGCCGGGCUUGAGUAUGGGAGAGGUGAGUGGAAUUUCCGGUGUAGCGGUGAAAUGCGUAGAUAUCGGAAGGAACACCUGUGGCGAAAGCGGCUCACUGGACCAUAACUGACGCUGAGGCGCGAAAGCUAGGGGAGCAAACAGGAUUAGAUACCCCGGUAGUCCCUGUCUCUUAUAC
This 301-nucleotide ribosomal RNA is filed under the name uncultured bacterium. Its description in RNAcentral is "partial 16S ribosomal RNA". It matches the Rfam family "Bacterial small subunit ribosomal RNA", at positions 509 to 807 of the family's 1533-position model. The record is from RNAcentral.